Molecule: transfer RNA, 74 nt
Filed under: Mus musculus (house mouse)
Lineage: Eukaryota; Metazoa; Chordata; Mammalia; Rodentia; Muridae
Description: tRNA-Asp
Source: RNAcentral
GUUGGGGUGGAGCUCAGUGGUAAAUUGUGUGCUUAUCGCAUGUAAAGUCCUGGGUUCAAUUCCCAGCCAGUACC